GGUCCCGUAGUUCAAUGGAUAGANNAUAGAAGUUUCCUAAACUUUUGAUCUAGGUUCGAUUCCUAGCGGGAUCACAA
RNAcentral lists this transfer RNA (77 nucleotides) under Flavobacteriales bacterium. RNAcentral's name for it is "tRNA-Arg". It matches the Rfam family "tRNA". Rfam says of the family: Transfer RNA (tRNA) molecules are approximately 80 nucleotides in length. Their secondary structure includes four short double-helical elements and three loops (D, anti-codon, and T loops). The record is from RNAcentral. Lineage: Bacteria; Pseudomonadati; Bacteroidota; Flavobacteriia; Flavobacteriales.